GGAUUGAGAUUGAUAAAGGAAAGAGAGAAUUGACUCAGUUGGGCAAAGAGAAUGAGAAGAAGAGAAAAAUGGGUAACGUGGAUGACAUUGUGGAGGAUGUAAGCAUUGAUGGGUCGGGUUUGAAUUAUGAUUCUGAUGAGUUAACGGAGAAUAUUAAAAUGGAGGAGAUUGGUAAAAAUGGAGGGAAUAGCUCAAAUGCAAAUAGCAGUGUCACUGGCGGUGGUGUUGGAGAUCAGAGGGGGAAGAAGAAGGGGCUCCCUGCUAAGAAUUUGAUGGCAGAAAGGAGGCGCCGGAAGAAGCUCAAUGAUAGGCUGUACAUGCUAAGGUCUGUAGUCCCAAAGAUAAGCAAGAUGGAUAGGGCAUCAAUCCUUGGGGAUGCAAUUGAGUACUUGAAGGAACUUCUGCAAAGGAUCAAUGACCUCCAUAACGAAUUGGAGUCAACUCCUCCUGGCUCUUCAUUGACACCCACAAGUUUUCACCCCUUGACACCCACUCCAUCAACCCUGCCGAGCCGUAUCAAGGAUAAGCUUUGUCCCAGCUCAUUGCCAAGUCCAAAUAGUCAACCAGCAAGAGUUGAAGUCAGAGUGAGAGACGGAAGAGCUGUAAACAUUCAUAUGUUUUGUAGUCGCAGACCAGGUCUCCUGCUCUCUACCAUGAGGGCCUUGGAUAACCUUGGCCUAGACAUCCAGCAAGCUGUCAUCAGUUGUUUCAAUGGUUUUGCCAUGGAUAUCUUCCGAGCUGAGCAAAGCAGAGAAGGGCAGGAUGUGCAUCCUGAGCAAAUUAAAGCUGUACUCCUGGAUUCAGCAGGUUUCCAUGGAAUAAUUUAGCAGUCUUAGAACCUUUAACUUCAAGUAUUAAUUCAGAAAGCAUAAGGUUAUAUGCAGUAGCUAUCUUCUUUCUCAUGCCAAGGGGUCUUUUGUAAUAUCAAAUAUAGUCGUUUGCCACCAAGAGUUCUUUAGAAGAAUCAGAAUUCUGUAAUUUUCUGCUUGUUUUAAGCUUUU
This 1001-nucleotide unclassified non-coding RNA is filed under the name Hevea brasiliensis (rubber tree). The record is from RNAcentral. Lineage: Eukaryota; Viridiplantae; Streptophyta; Magnoliopsida; Malpighiales; Euphorbiaceae.